RNAcentral lists this ribosomal RNA (445 nucleotides) under uncultured bacterium. RNAcentral describes it as "partial 16S ribosomal RNA". It matches the Rfam family "Bacterial small subunit ribosomal RNA", at positions 354 to 796 of the family's 1533-position model. The record is from RNAcentral.
GUAAGGAAUAUUGGUCAAUGGACGAAAGUCUGAACCAGCCAUGCCGCGUGGAGGAUGGAGGUCCUCUGGAUUGUAAACUUCUUUUAUAUGGGACGAAAAUGGGGCUUUCUAGCUCAACUGACGGUACCAUAUGAAUAAGCACCGGCUAACUCCGUGCCAGCAGCCGCGGUAAUACGGAGGGUGCAAGCGUUAUCCGGAUUCACUGGGUUUAAAGGGUGCGUAGGUGGAUUGGUAAGUCAGAGGUGAAAUCUCCGGGCUCAACUCGGAAACUGCCUUUGAUACUAUCAAUCUUGAAUAUUGUGGAGGUUAGCGGAAUAUGUCAUGUAGCGGUGAAAUGCUUAGAUAUGACAUAGAACACCAAUUGCGAAGGCAGCUGGCUACACAUAUAUUGACACUGAGGCACGAAAGCGUGGGGAUCAAACAGGAUUAGAAACCCCGGUAGUCC